RNAcentral lists this ribosomal RNA (253 nucleotides) under uncultured bacterium. Its description in RNAcentral is "partial 16S ribosomal RNA". It matches the Rfam family "Bacterial small subunit ribosomal RNA", at positions 524 to 776 of the family's 1533-position model. The record is from RNAcentral.
UACAGAGGGUGCAAGCGUUAAUCGGAAUUACUGGGCGUAAAGCGCGCGUAGGCGGUCAAGUAAGAUGGGUGUGAAAUCCCCGGGCUCAACCUGGGAACUGCAUCCAUAACUGCUUGACUAGAGUACAGUAGAGGGUGGUGGAAUUUCCUGUGUAGCGGUGAAAUGCGUAGAUAUAGGAAGGAACACCAGUGGCGAAGGCGACCACCUGGACUGAUACUGACGCUGAGGUGCGAAAGCGUGGGGAGCAAACAGG